Plutella xylostella (diamondback moth) is the source of this 156-nucleotide non-coding RNA. Lineage: Eukaryota; Metazoa; Arthropoda; Insecta; Lepidoptera; Plutellidae. The record is from RefSeq and is a predicted model, not a curated record.
GGGACGGGACAAGGAGUGAUAAGCAAAGGAGAAAAUUAAACAUGAAACAUAACAUUAAACAUUAAACAUAAAAGGUUGUCAUGACAGAUUAUCCCCUCGUCUCUCAAUGAUUUCCUAAUACCUAGGUAUGGAGUGAUUAUAAGAAUAAUACAAAGA